AACGAACGCUGGCGGCGUGCCUAACACAUGCAAGUCGAACGAGAAAGGGGCUUCGGCUCCGAGUAAAGUGGCGCACGGGUGAGUAACACGUGGGUAACCUGCCUCUAAGAUUGGGACAACUCGUCGAAAGAUGAGCUAAUACCGGAUAAGACCACAGUUCCUGCGGGAGAAGUGGUCAAAGGUAGCCUCUGCUUGCAAGCUAUCACUUAGAGAUGGGCCUGCGCACCAUUAGCUAGUUGGUAGGGUAACGGCCUACCAAGGCAAAGAUGGUUAGCUGGUCUGAGAGGAUGAUCAGCCACACUGGAACUGAGACACGGUCCAGACUCCUACGGGAGGCAG
RNAcentral lists this ribosomal RNA (339 nucleotides) under uncultured Pseudomonadota bacterium. Its description in RNAcentral is "bacterial SSU rRNA". It matches the Rfam family "Bacterial small subunit ribosomal RNA", at positions 29 to 351 of the family's 1533-position model. Lineage: Bacteria; Pseudomonadati; Pseudomonadota. The record is from RNAcentral.